Molecule: ribosomal RNA, 253 nt
Filed under: uncultured bacterium
Lineage: Bacteria
Description: partial 16S ribosomal RNA
Rfam family: Bacterial small subunit ribosomal RNA
Source: RNAcentral
UACGUAGGUGGCAAGCGUUGUCCGGAUUUACUGGGUGUAAAGGGCGUGUAGGCGGGAAAGCAAGUCAGAUGUGAAAACCAUGGGCUCAACCUGUGGCCUGCAUUUGAAACUGUUUUUCUUGAGUACUGGAGAGGCAGACGGAAUUCCUAGUGUAGCGGUGAAAUGCGUAGAUAUUAGGAGGAACACCAGUGGCGAAGGCGGUCUGCUGGACAGCAACUGACGCUGAGGCGCGAAAGCGUGGGGAGCAAACAGG